RNAcentral lists this unclassified non-coding RNA (214 nucleotides) under uncultured Clavaria. RNAcentral describes it as "partial internal transcribed spacer 2". Lineage: Eukaryota; Fungi; Basidiomycota; Agaricomycetes; Agaricales; Clavariaceae. The record is from RNAcentral.
AUCUCUCAACACAAGAGACUUUGUUUUUUUGUGCUUGGAUAUUGAAGGCUUGCUGGCACAACAACUGUCAGCUCCUUUUAAAUGCAUUAGCCAAGCAAUGUUAGGACUGGCCUCAGUUUGAUAAGAAGUUUUUAUCUGUGCUGUCGCUGGAUUUCCUCUUGUGCUUAGCUUCAAAUUGUCUUUGGACUGCCUCUUGAGGCAACAUAUUCUUAUU